This 717-nucleotide ribosomal RNA is filed under the name Triticum aestivum (bread wheat). RNAcentral's name for it is "partial small subunit ribosomal RNA". Lineage: Eukaryota; Viridiplantae; Streptophyta; Magnoliopsida; Poales; Poaceae. The record is from RNAcentral.
AUGUUCUCGUCACAAUUAGUGAGUCGCAUCAGCAACAUACGCACCUCCCUCAUCAACGCGCAGAAGAGUAACCUCUCGGUUGCCUCCUACUUUGCCGCCAUGCAUGGCUAUGCCGAUGAGGUGGCCGCGGCGGGCAAGCCCAUCCAGGACGAUGAGCUCCUCUCGUACAUCAUCCACGGGUUGGAUGCGGACUACCAGCCACUGGUGUCGGCCCUCGACGCCCGUGUUACUCCUGCAACCCUCGACGAGCUCUUCACCAUGCUGUCAAACUUCGACCAGCGCAUGGCACAGUUCCAUGGAUCCGGCGGCGGGUUCAAAUCUUCCGCAAACCUGGCGUCGCGCGGACGGGGUGGUGGCUCCUGCUCACGUGGCUCCCCGCGCUACAAAGGGCGAUCUGGAGGCGGCGGCAACGAUCGCGUCCACUCUCCUCAGCGCUCGGGUGGCCGCGGGCGCGAGCGCGGGCGCGGUGGUGGAAACCGAACGCGUCCAGAGACUCCGCGGUGCCAAAUCUGCGGGAAGCCCGGUCACACAGCAAAGGAUUGUUGGUACCGUUAUGAUGAGGAUGAGGACUCUCAAGACGAUGACAAGGUAGCUGCUGCCGCUGAUGGUUCCUACGGUAUUGACACCAAUUGGUACGUCGAUAGCGGUGCCACAAACCACAUCACGAACGAGCUUGAGAAGGUCACCAUGAAAGAAAAAUAUUGCGACAAAGAUUAA